ACCAUAUCGGGAUGUUGUACAUGCUCAAGAUCACUAGCCAAGUGUUGUGGUCACUGUUCCUCUCAUUGAAGGGAUUCAUUCCAUCGGUGCUCAAGGCAAAUCGUACAUUCCUUGGGUCCGAGCUGAACAACGGGUUGUUCAUAUUGAAGUCCUACCACUGACUACCAACCCCGGGUGUGCAAUGACAUUGUCAUCGAUGUUGCGCUCAAUGCCCCACCAUGUCAUGAGCACUGCUUCCUUAGGGUUCAUGAAGAUACACAUCAAGCGGUCGGC
This 273-nucleotide long non-coding RNA is filed under the name Sorghum bicolor (sorghum). Its description in RNAcentral is "long non-coding RNA (SBIC_LNC010778)". The record is from RNAcentral. Lineage: Eukaryota; Viridiplantae; Streptophyta; Magnoliopsida; Poales; Poaceae.